UAACAAAAAUGAAAAAAAGAAAAAGAAGAAAUACUAUUAAAACAAUCAAUACGGCAAGCCAAAGACAGACGGCUGCCUGCCGUGUGUGAAGAAAAGUCGAAGACACUGCGCAAAAAAAAACGAGAACGUCGAAGAAUAACAGGUAAUUCAAAUCGAAUACAUGGAAAUUUUAUACUCGGCUCCAAGAAAUUAUGUGGGUAACAGGGAAAAGGAGUAAACAAUAUGAAAAGGGUCGCCCGCCGCCAGAGUUCAUAUAAGAUUACACACACGAAGCGAAGAAGCACUGCAAAGAUUUGUAUGCUAAUUUCAACUAUUGAAUGCGUAUCAGUCAGAAGGAGACACGAACACUCAUUUAAUGCAUGUGAUGUGCGCCUCUUUCAAAAUUGAUGCUUAACAUUCCGAAAGCAUAGGGCAACACUGGCCGACAGCAGCUUUUGUCGAUCAUGUUGUUAGUGGAUGGAUCCCGGCACUUGCAACAGAUCUCGAUGUAAAAACUUUAACAUAUAAACAACGACAACGUCAUGAUCAACAAUUGUAUAACACAACCGCUCUACGGAUCGGUUCGGAUCGCUUCGAUCUGAGUGCCGCCUCUCUGGAGAUUCACUUCCACUUUCUGCAGCGUUCGUUUUGUAAAUGUUGCGUAGUUCUGGCCGCAGACAGAGCUCAACUAAAGGCACAACAUAACAGCAACAGCCACAGCCAAAGGAAGAGGAAGCAGAGCGGCGACGGCAGACAAACAGGAAUGCAAUUGCAGGGUAAAAACAACAACAACAACAACAGCACUUCGAACUUCGAACUACCAAGUGAGAGCUGAAACAGACAGAGAGAGAGCGAGAGGAAGAGAGCGAUCGAUAGCUGUGUGUG
Long non-coding RNA from Drosophila grimshawi, 864 nucleotides. RefSeq lists it as uncharacterized. NCBI's taxonomy places the organism in Eukaryota, Metazoa, Arthropoda, Insecta, Diptera, Drosophilidae. The record is from RefSeq and is a predicted model, not a curated record. The transcript has 4 exons.